RNAcentral lists this ribosomal RNA (555 nucleotides) under uncultured Glomeromycotina. Its description in RNAcentral is "SSU rRNA". It matches the Rfam family "Eukaryotic small subunit ribosomal RNA", at positions 548 to 1098 of the family's 1831-position model. The record is from RNAcentral. Lineage: Eukaryota; Fungi; Glomeromycota.
UUGGAGGGCAAGUCUGGUGCCAGCAGCCGCGGUAAUUCCAGCUCCAAUAGCGUAUAUUAAAGUUGUUGCAGUUAAAAAGCUCGUAGUUGAAUUUCGGGAUUGACACAUCGGUCGUGCCUUAAGGGGUAUGAACUGGUGUAGUCAAUUUCUCACCUUCUGGAGAACCGCGAUGCCCUUAAUUGGGUGUCGCGGGGAACCAGGACCUUUACUUUGAAAAAAUUAGAGUGUUUAAAGCAGGCAUUUUGCUUGAAUACAUUAGCAUGGAAUAAUAAAAUAGGACGGCAUGAUUCUAUUUUGUUGGUUUCUAGGAUCACCGUAAUGACUAAUAGGGAUAGUUGGGGGCAUUAGUAUUCAAUUGUCAGAGGUGAAAUUCUUGGAUUUAUUGAAGACUAACUACUGCGAAAGCAUUUGCCAAGGAUGUUUUCAUUAAUCAAGAACGAAAGUUAGGGGAUCGAAGACGAUCAGAUACCGUCGUAGUCUUAACCAUAAACUAUGCCGACUAGGAAUCAGACGAUGUUAAUUUUUUAAUGACUCGUUCGGCGCCUUACGGGAAAC